This is a non-coding RNA of Paramuricea clavata, 564 nucleotides long. Lineage: Eukaryota; Metazoa; Cnidaria; Anthozoa; Malacalcyonacea; Plexauridae. The record is from the annotation of a GenBank genome assembly.
CUUAGGAAUCUGCAGAAAAGGCCUUGAAGAAAAUGAAAACUGACAUCAAUGAGAAUGGCGAUGCAAGCGAUGGAGAUGCAAGCGAUGGCGAUGGUGGUGUAAUUGCGAUUGACAAAAACGGAAAUCUUGGUAUAGCCUUCACUACUCCGAUGAUGGUUUGGGCAAGUUUCCAGGAUAACGUCCCAAAGUCUGGUAUGAGAAAAGAUGAAGUGUAGGCCUACGUUGGCCAACUAUAAAUAAUAAAUAUAAAUAACGGACUAUAUAGUGGCACCAUAUAUAUGGCACCAUGUGGUCGGAUGACAAGGUGUAUAUAUUUACCUUGUGCUGCUUUAGUAUCGUCCACCUUGCGUUGUGAUUAUACUGCAGCUUAGAACUUUUUAACUCAAGAACUGAUCGUUUCCAUAUGCUAUAACAAGUAUUUUACUCCAGCUAUAUGCAACAUUUAGGAUUAUCACUAGUUUUCAAUUGUAAAUUGUAUUAAUGUAACUUCUAAUUUACUAUCUUCAUGCAGUUGGCAAACUUCGUAGUAUAACAUUAUAUUUCAACGAUUCAACCCGGCAUGGC